This 1653-nucleotide unclassified non-coding RNA is filed under the name Leishmania donovani. Its description in RNAcentral is "gene:LdHU3.14.0400(CDS-product:proteasome_alpha_3 _subunit_putative)". The record is from RNAcentral. Lineage: Eukaryota; Euglenozoa; Kinetoplastea; Trypanosomatida; Trypanosomatidae.
UAUUGUAUCGCUGUGCAGCCUCACUGCAUCCUCUCCCUCUCCUCGUUUACUUCUGUUCGCCCGUCUUUCCUUGCCUUCGUGCCUCUCUGCGGUGCCUAUCACCCCCCGCCUCUGCGCAGACAAGCACGCGUUGGAGCAAGCAUCUGCCCUGUGCCACAGCUUACCAUCACCACCGCUGCGCAUCGCCAUCAUGUCCCACCGGUACGACUCCCGCACCACCACCUUCUCCCCUGAGGGUCGCCUCUACCAGGUGGAGUACGCCGUGGAGGCGAUUCAGCAGGCCGGCACCGUCAUCGGCGUAUGCACGAAGGACGGCGUCGUGCUGGCGGGCGAGAAGAUGGUGCCGCACCCGCUCUUUGAUAGCGAAAACAUGCAGGACAAGAACACCAGUGGGGAGAAGAUGUACAAGAUCGCCGAGCACAUCGGCUGCAGCGUGGCGGGUGUGACGUCGGAUGCGUACGCCUUGCUGAACUACGCUCGGCUUUCGGCACUGCGCCACCAGUACACCUUCCAGGAGCCGAUGGCGAUCGAGGAUCUCUGCCGCAUCCUGUGUGACGAGAAGCAGCUCUACACGCAGUACGGCGGCGUGCGCCCCUACGGUGUCUCCUUCCUGCUUGUUGGAUGGGACCGCUACUACGGUUAUCAGCUCUACUCCACCGAGCCGAGCGGCGACUACAGCGCCUGGAGUGCGUACGCGAUCGGACAGAACGACCAGGUGGCGCACUCACUCUUGAAGAAGGACUGGCACGAGAACAUGACGCUAGAGGACGGCAUGCUGCUGGCGCUGCGGGUGCUGGGCAAGACGAUGGACACGGCAAAGAUCGACCUCGGCCGGGUGGAGGUGGCGGUGAUGCGCAAGGUACCCGCUUCGAACGUUGAUCAGCUGCUCGACCCGUUCAAGCACCACCCCAAGACGACGCCUCAGUUUCAGAUUCUCGCCCUUAGUGAACUGAAGCCGCACGCCGAACGCGCCGACCAGGCCAGGGAGGCGGAGGAGCAGGCCGAGGCGGAGCGUCAGCGCCAGCAGGAGCAGGCUCUGGAGUCGUAAGGCCUCCGCGCGCGUUUGGGGUCUGUGUGUGUGUGUAGGGUACGCGACUGAUAUAUGCGUUGCGCACGCAGAAGAGGAGACACAGAAAGAGAGGAGGGGCGAUAGAAGACAAAGGUGUCGGCACGGGCCCCGGAGCUGCACGAGGAGGCAUCCCUCGGCGACAUGCACACAUAUCCGUUCGAGUCACAUCCCCGCUCAGCCGCAUGCGCCGGAGUGAGGUGAACGGCAGCAGGGGCAUCGCUCUCCAAGCAUACAUAGGUAUAUAUAUAUAUAUAUAUAUAUAUAUAUUUGCCGCAAAUCCCCUCCCUCCCGGCUCCGUCCUCCAUCUUCAACGUGUAUGCGCGCAAGGUUGUGUAGAGGGUGAGGGGAGAGGGAGGAGGGUCCGUCACUAGCGGCUAUCAGCGUCCCCUUCCUCCCCUCUCUACGCUUCUUUGUUCGUUUUCUCUUAUACCACUGCCCUCCCCCUUCCCCUCGUGUCCUCUCCUCCCUAAAGCAGCCCACCACUUCUGUCUCUCUCUGUGUGCCUGUGUGUGUGUGUCUGUGAAGAGGGGUGUGUGUGGGGGCAGGGGAGGGUGGUGGCAGGGGCGAUCCGAUGUACGGCGGCG